Molecule: ribosomal RNA, 253 nt
Filed under: uncultured archaeon
Lineage: Archaea
Description: partial 16S ribosomal RNA
Rfam family: Archaeal small subunit ribosomal RNA
Source: RNAcentral
AACCAGCACCUCAAGUGGUCAGGAUGAUUAUUGGGCCUAAAGCAUCCGUAGCCUGUUCUGUAAGUUUCCGGUUAAAUCCAUACGCUCAACGUAUGGGCCGCCGGAAAUACUGCAGAACUAGGGAGUGGGAGAGGUAGACGGUACUCGGUAGGAAGAGGUAAAAUUCUUUGAUCUAUUGAUGACCACCUGUGGCGAAGGCGGUCUACCAGAACACGUUCGACGGUGAGGGAUGAAAGCUGGGGGAGCAAACCGG